This 22-nucleotide microRNA is filed under the name Sarcophilus harrisii (Tasmanian devil). Its description in RNAcentral is "Sha-Mir-430-o17_3p (mature (guide))". The record is from RNAcentral. Lineage: Eukaryota; Metazoa; Chordata; Mammalia; Dasyuromorphia; Dasyuridae.
UAAGUGCUCUCAGUUGGGAUGA